CGGGACACGUGGUAUCCUGUCUGAAUAUGGGGGGACCAUCCUCCAAGGCUAAAUACUCCUGACUGACCGAUAGUGAACCAGUACCGUGAGGGAAAGGCGAAAAGAACCCCGGCGAGGGGAGUGAAAAAGAACCUGAAACCGUGUACGUACAAGCAGUGGGAGCACGCUUAGGCGUGUGACUGCGUACCUUUUGUAUAAUGGGUCAGCGACUUAUAUUCUGUAGCAAGGUUAACCGAAUAGGGGAGCCGAAGGGAAACCGAGUCUUAACUGGGCGUUAAGUUGCAGGGUAUAGACCCGAAACCCGGUGAUCUAGCCAUGGGCAGGUUGAAGGUUGGGUAACACUAACUGGAGGACCGAACCGACUAAUGUUGAAAAAUUAGCGGAUGACUUGUGGCUGGGGGUGAAAGGCCAAUCAAACCGGGAGAUAGCUGGUUCUCCCCGAAAGCUAUUUAGGUAGCGCCUCGUGAAUUCAUCUCCGGGGGUAGAGCACUGUUUCGGCAAGGGGGUCAUCCCGACUUACCAACCCGAUGCAAACUGCGAAUACCGGA
This 548-nucleotide ribosomal RNA is filed under the name Escherichia coli. RNAcentral's name for it is "partial 23S ribosomal RNA". It matches the Rfam family "Bacterial large subunit ribosomal RNA", at positions 418 to 967 of the family's 2925-position model. Lineage: Bacteria; Pseudomonadati; Pseudomonadota; Gammaproteobacteria; Enterobacterales; Enterobacteriaceae. The record is from RNAcentral.